AAAGGGUGCGUAGGCGGCCUGUUAAGUCAGGGGUGAAAGACGGUAGCUCAACUAUCGCAGUGCCCUUGAUACUGAUGGGCUUGAAUUGACUAGAGGUAGGCGGAAUGUGACAAGUAGCGGUGAAAUGCAUAGAUAUGUCACAGAACACCGAUUGCGAAGGCAGCUUACUAUGGUCUUAUUGACGCUGAGGCACGAAAGCGUGGGGAUCAAACAGGAUUAGAUACCCGGGU
RNAcentral lists this ribosomal RNA (230 nucleotides) under uncultured bacterium. RNAcentral's name for it is "partial 16S ribosomal RNA". It matches the Rfam family "Bacterial small subunit ribosomal RNA", at positions 562 to 791 of the family's 1533-position model. The record is from RNAcentral.